ACAUCCAGAGAAUUUAGCAGAGAUGCUUUAGUGCCUUCGGGAACUCUGAGACAGGUGCUGCAUGGCUGUCGUCAGCUCGUGUUGUGAAUGUUGGGUUAAGUCCCGNAACGAGCGCAACCCUUAUCCUUUGUUGCCAGCACGUAAUGGUGGGAACUCAAAGGAGACUGCCGGUGAUAAACCGGAGGAAGGUGGGGAUGACGUCAAGUCAUCAUGGCCCUUACGAGUAGGGCUACACACGUGCUACAAUGGCGCAUACAAAGAGAAGCGACCUCGCGAGAGCAAGCGGACCUCAUAAAGUGCGUCGUAGUCCGGAUUGGAGUCUGCAACUCGACUCCAUGAAGUCGGAAUCGCUAGUAAUCGUAAAUCAGAAUGUUACGGUGAAUACGUUCCCGGGCCUUGUACACACCGCCCGUCACACCAUGGGAGUGGGUUGCAAAAGAAGUAGAUAGCUUAACCUUCGGGAGGGCGUUUACCACUUUGUGAUUCAUGACUGGGGUGAAGUCGUAACAAGGUAAGCGUAGUGCU
Molecule: ribosomal RNA, 525 nt
Filed under: uncultured bacterium
Lineage: Bacteria
Description: bacterial SSU rRNA
Rfam family: Bacterial small subunit ribosomal RNA
Source: RNAcentral